This 375-nucleotide ribosomal RNA is filed under the name Tubifex tubifex (sludge worm). RNAcentral describes it as "partial 16S ribosomal RNA". It matches the Rfam family "Bacterial large subunit ribosomal RNA", at positions 1926 to 2539 of the family's 2925-position model. The record is from RNAcentral. Lineage: Eukaryota; Metazoa; Annelida; Clitellata; Tubificida; Naididae.
AACGCCCGCGGUAUCCUGACCGUGCAAAGGUAGCAUAAUCAUUUGCCUAUUAAUUGUAGGCUAGCAUGAAAGGACAAACGAGAAUAUCCCUGUCUCCUUUAAGCCAGUAAAAAUUUAUCUUUAAGUGAAGAAGCUUAAAUAAUUAUGCAGGACAAGAAGACCCUAUAGAGCUUUACCUAAACAUUACAUUAUAAGUAAUUAAGGGUUCGGUUGGGGCGACCUGGGGACAUAAAUCACCCCUUAAAAUUUAGACAAACACGUCAUUAAAAAGAUCCUAAACUAAGAUCAACGAAUCAAGCUACCUUAGGGAUAACAGGCUAAUCCUCUUAGAGAGCCCUUAUCGACAAGAGGGGUUGGCACCUCGAUGUUGGCUUA